RNAcentral lists this ribosomal RNA (123 nucleotides) under Danio rerio (zebrafish). Lineage: Eukaryota; Metazoa; Chordata; Actinopteri; Cypriniformes; Danionidae. The record is from RNAcentral.
UUUAUCAGACAUUACAUUUUGACCACUUUCCAACACAACCCUGCCUCACUGAAGCUAAGCAGGGCUGAGCCUGGUCAGUACCUGGAUGGAAGACUACAUGGGAAAACUAGGUUGCUAUUGGAA